This 253-nucleotide ribosomal RNA is filed under the name uncultured bacterium. Its description in RNAcentral is "partial 16S ribosomal RNA". It matches the Rfam family "Bacterial small subunit ribosomal RNA", at positions 524 to 776 of the family's 1533-position model. The record is from RNAcentral.
UACAGAGGUCCCGAGCGUUGUUCGGAUUCACUGGGCGUAAAGGGUGCGUAGGUGGUGAGGUAAGUCGGAUGUGAAAGCUCGGAGCUCAACUCCGAAAUGGCAUUGGAAACUACCUUGCUAGAGGGUUGGAGGGGGGACUGGAAUGCUUGGCGUAGCAGUGAAAUGCGUAGAUAUCAAGCGGAACACCAGUGGCGAAGGCGAGUCCCUGGACAACUCCUGACACUGAGGCACGAAAGCUAGGGGAGCAAACAGG